Molecule: ribosomal RNA, 497 nt
Filed under: uncultured bacterium
Lineage: Bacteria
Description: partial 16S ribosomal RNA
Rfam family: Bacterial small subunit ribosomal RNA
Source: RNAcentral
GAUGAACGCUGGCGGCGUGCCUAAUACAUGCAAGUCGAGCGAACAGACGAGGAGCUUGCUCCUCUGACGUUAGCGGCGGACGGGCGAGUAACACGUGGAUAACCUACCUAUAAGACUGGGAUAACUUCGGGAAACCGGAGCUAAUACCGGAUAACAUGUUGAACCGCAUGGUUUAACAGUGAAAGACGGUCUUGCUGUCACUUAUAGAUGGAUCCGCGCCGCAUUAGCUAGUUGGUAAGGUAACGGCUUACCAAGGCAACGAUGCGUAGCCGACCUGAGAGGGUGAUCGGCCACACUGGAACUGAGACACGGUCCAGACUCCUACGGGAGGCAGCAGUAGGGAAUCUUCCGCAAUGGGCGAAAGCCUGACGGAGCAACGCCGCGUGAGUGAAGAAGGUCUUCGGAUCGUAAAACUCUGUUAUUAGGGAAGAACAAAUGUGUAAGUAACUAUGCACGUCUUGACGGUACCUAAUCAGAAAGCCACGGCUAACUACGUG